UCUCCGUAGGUGAACCUGCGGAGGGAUCAUUACUGAGUGAGGGCUCACGCCCGACCUCCAACCCUUUGUGAACACAACUUGUUGCUUCGGGGGCGACCCUGCCGUUUCGACGGCGAGCGCCCCCGGGGUCAAUCAAACACUGCAUUCUCUGCGUCGGAGUAUUAGUAAAUCUAAUCAAAACUUUCAACAACGGAUCUCUUGGUUCUGGCAUCGAUGAAGAACGCAGC
Molecule: unclassified non-coding RNA, 227 nt
Filed under: uncultured fungus
Lineage: Eukaryota; Fungi
Description: sequence contains ITS1, 5.8S rRNA gene
Rfam family: 5.8S ribosomal RNA (bases 179-227)
Source: RNAcentral